RNAcentral lists this ribosomal RNA (499 nucleotides) under uncultured bacterium. RNAcentral's name for it is "bacterial SSU rRNA". It matches the Rfam family "Bacterial small subunit ribosomal RNA", at positions 38 to 518 of the family's 1533-position model. The record is from RNAcentral.
GGCGGCGUGCUUAACACAUGCAAGUCGAACGCGAAAGGGACUUACGGUCCUGAGUAAAGUAGGCGCACGGGUGAGUAACGCGUGGAUAAUCUGCCCUUAUGAUCGGGAUAACAGUUGGAAACGGCUGCUAAUACCGGAUACGCUCAAAAUGAACUUUUUGAGGAAAGAUGGCCUCUGCUUGCAUGCUAUCACGUAAGGAUGAGUCCGCGUCCCAUUAGCUUGUUGGCGGGGUAACGGCCCACCAAGGCAACGAUGGGUAGCCGAUUUGAGAGGAUGAUCGGCCACACUGGAACUGAAACACGGUCCAGACUCCUACGGGAGGCAGCAGUGGGGAAUAUUGCGCAAUGGGCGAAAGCCUGACGCAGCGACGCCGCGUGAGGGAUGAAGGUUUUCGGAUCGUAAACCUCUGUCAGAAGGGAAGAAACUACGUUGUGCUAAUCAGCAGCGUACUGACGGUACCUUCAAAGGAAGCACCGGCUAACUCCGUGCCAGCAGCCGC